RNAcentral lists this ribosomal RNA (484 nucleotides) under uncultured bacterium. RNAcentral describes it as "partial 16S ribosomal RNA". It matches the Rfam family "Bacterial small subunit ribosomal RNA", at positions 28 to 523 of the family's 1533-position model. The record is from RNAcentral.
GACGAACGCUGGCGGCGUGCUUAACACAUGCAAGUCGAACGAUGAAGCCGGAGAUUGCUCUGGUGAAUUAGUGGCGAACGGGUGAGUAACACGUGAGUAACCUGCCCUUGACUCUGGGAUAACUGCGGGAAACUGUAGCUAAUACCGGAUACGACCCUCGGAGGCAUCUCCUGGGGGUGGAAAGAAUUUCGGUCGAGGAUGGACUCGCGGCCUAUCAGCUAGUUGGUGAGGUAAAGGCUCACCAAGGCGACGACGGGUAGCCGGCGUGAGAGGGUGACCGGCCACACUGGGACUGAGACACGGCCCAGACUCCUACGGGAGGCAGCAGAGGGGAAUAUUGCACAAUGGGCGCAAGCCUGAUGCAGCAACGCCGCGUGAGGGAUGACGGCCUUCGGGUUGUAAACCUCUUUUAGCAGGGAAGAAGCGAAAGUGACGGUACCUGCAGAAAAAGCACCGGCUAACUACGUGCCAGCCGCCGCAGUAA